CGGGAACCUUUGGAUUCGUCUGAGGGUGAGAGUGGCGGACGGGUGAGUAACACGUAGGUGACAUACCCCAGAGAGGGGGACAACCAUUGGAAACGAUGGCUAAUACCCCAGAUGUUACACUGUCUAGGAAGGUGUGACUAAAUGCUCCGGCGCUCUGGGAGUGGCCUGCGGCCCAUCAGCUAGUUGGUAAGGUAAUGGCUUACCAAGGCAAAGACGGGUAGGGGGCGUGAGAGCGUGACCCCCCACACUGGUACUGAGACACGGACCAGAUACCUGCGGGUAGCAGCAGCAAGGAAUACUGCGCAAUGGGCGAAAGCCUGACGCAGCAACACCGCGUGGAGGAUGAAUGUCUUCGGAUUGUAAACUCCUUUUCUGGGGGAAGAGAUAGGACGGUACCCCAGGAAUAAGUCUCGGCUAACUACGUGCCAGCAGCCGCGGUAAAACGUAGGAGGCAAACGUUAUCCGGAUUUACUGGGCGUAAAGCGCAUG
This 489-nucleotide ribosomal RNA is filed under the name uncultured soil bacterium. Its description in RNAcentral is "bacterial SSU rRNA". It matches the Rfam family "Bacterial small subunit ribosomal RNA", at positions 67 to 571 of the family's 1533-position model. The record is from RNAcentral.